CAGCCGCCGCGGGAAUAUGAAGGGGGCUAGCGUUGCUCGGAAUGACUGGGCGUAAAGGGCGCGUAGGCGGAUUGUUUAGUUAGGCGCGAAAUUCCUGGGCUUAACCUGGGGACUGCGCUUAAUACAGGCAGUCUAGAGUGAGGAGGGGGUUGUGGAAUUCCCAGUGUAGAGGUGAAAUUCGUAGAUAUCGGAAGGAACACCUGUGGCGAAAGCGGCUCACUGGACCAUUUCUGACGCUGAUGCACGAAAGCUAGGGGAGCAAACAGGAUUAGAUACCCCCGUAGUCCCUGUCUCUUAUACA
Molecule: ribosomal RNA, 301 nt
Filed under: uncultured bacterium
Lineage: Bacteria
Description: partial 16S ribosomal RNA
Rfam family: Bacterial small subunit ribosomal RNA
Source: RNAcentral